CGGACGCUCCGGGAGCGCGCGUGCUCAGGCGGGCCGCUGACACGUCGCCCGGCACGUGGCAGUGCAGGGCCACCAGAUCGGCGCUGGUGCGUUCGGCCA
RNAcentral lists this transfer RNA (99 nucleotides) under Streptomyces capitiformicae. RNAcentral's name for it is "tRNA-Ser". The record is from RNAcentral. Lineage: Bacteria; Bacillati; Actinomycetota; Actinomycetes; Kitasatosporales; Streptomycetaceae.